GAAAUGCGAUAAGUAAUGUGAAUUGCAGAAUUCAGUGAAUCAUCGAAUCUUUGAACGCACAUUGCGCCCCCUGGUAUUCCGGGGGGCAUGCCUGUUCGAGCGUCAUUUCACCACUCAAGCCUCGCUUGGUAUUGGGCGACGCGGUCCGCCGCGCGCCUCAAAUCGACCGGAUGGGUCUUCCGUCCCCUCAGCGUUGUGGAAACUAUUCGCUAAAGGGUGCCGCGGGAGGUCACGCCGCAAAACAACCCCAUUUCUAAGGUUGACCUCGGAUCAGGUAGGGAUACCCGCUGAACUUAAGC
Molecule: unclassified non-coding RNA, 299 nt
Filed under: plant metagenome
Description: partial contains 5.8S ribosomal RNA, internal transcribed spacer 2, and large subunit ribosomal RNA
Rfam family: 5.8S ribosomal RNA (bases 1-105)
Source: RNAcentral